CCUACGGGAGGCAGCAGCAAGGAAUUUUCCGCAAUGGGCGAAAGCCUGACGGAGCAACGCCGCGUGGGGGAGGACGCUUUUCGGAGUGUAAACCUCUUUUCUUGGGGACGACGAACGACGGUACCCGAGGAAUAAGGACCGGCUAACUACGUGCCAGCAGCCGCGGUAAUACGUAGGGUCCGAGCGUUGUCCGGAGUUACUGGGCGUAAAGCGCGCGCAGGCGGCUUGAUAAGUCUGGCGUGAAAGCCCCCGGCUCAACCGGGGAGGGUCGUCGGAGACUGUGAAGCUUGAGGGCGGUAGGGGCUGGUGGAAUUCCCGGUGUAGUGGUGAAAUGCGUAGAGAUCGGGAGGAACACCUGUGGCGAAGGCGGCCAGCUGGGCCGACCCUGACGCUGAGGCGCGAAGGCGUGGGGAGCGAACGGGAUUAGAUACCCCGGUAGUCCACGCAGUAAACGAUGCAGACUAGGCGUGGGGGACUUGACCCCCUCCGUGCCGGAGCUAACGCGGUAAGUCUGCCGCCGUCGGGAGGUACGGCCGGCGACGGACGUAAACUAACAAUAGAAUAGUACGGCGUGAGACGUGCCGAACGGACGACGACGAGGGAGGUAAGG
Molecule: ribosomal RNA, 610 nt
Filed under: uncultured bacterium
Lineage: Bacteria
Description: bacterial SSU rRNA
Rfam family: Bacterial small subunit ribosomal RNA (bases 1-519)
Source: RNAcentral